Urocitellus parryii (Arctic ground squirrel) is the source of this 2375-nucleotide long non-coding RNA. RefSeq lists it as uncharacterized. Lineage: Eukaryota; Metazoa; Chordata; Mammalia; Rodentia; Sciuridae. The record is from RefSeq and is a predicted model, not a curated record.
GUGGACACAGAGCACUUGUCUUGGUUCCUCUCAGAGCCCAAGGCCAGCGCAGGACCGUCGACCAGAGGCCACACGGUUGUAUUCCAGGAAGCCCAGGUCCGGUCCCCAGUAGCAGACAGAAUGGCAGAACAGGGGCGCCUGAGGACAGCCCUCCAGGGGAUGAAGGUCCUGCAGCCGCGACUCCUCCUGCUGCAGCCCUGUCCUGGGCCCCGACUCCAGCACUCAGUGCUUGCUCUAGACCGAGUGGGCACGGGCAGGGUCCUCACCAGAGCCACAGAGAGGAGACAGCUCAAGUGCCAUGGGUCCAAGUGGCGGAAGGGACGGGCCAACCUGCCGCAGAGCAUGCUUUGUUAUGAAGAGCAGCAAGGUGCCCAUCCGUGCCACAACUCGGGGACCCUGAGACACAGCACAGGUGUCUCAGAGCACCACCAGGUGUGAGAUGUCCAGGGCAGUCGCUCUGUGGACAGGGGGCAGACUCAGGGCCGGGUGCUGGGGCAGGCCUGUGCCCGCACUGGCUGGGGAGCUUCUUUUGGGGGUGAUGAAAGGUCCUCAAACCAAUCGAUUGUGGGGCUACAUGGAAAACCAUUGCCUGGUGCCUUCACCUGAGUGACUUCAUGUUCUGUGGAGUCCAUUUCAACAAGGCCGCUGUCCCCAGCCAGAAAGAAGAGCAUGUCCCCUCUCAACAGCCCAAGUGUCCUGAAGUGAAUUUCACAGCCAUGGGUCUGCUUGGGUUUCUGAGGGACAUUUUUAUGUUCAACAGCUUUGAGCUUGAUCCUCAAGGUCCACUCUGCCCUCUGAAGGAAGCCUCCGCUUGCCUCCCACUGCCUGUCCCCACUGGAGUGACCCUAUCUGUGACCCUCGGCCCUCCCUGCUCCACGCCCAGGCUUCCCCCUCCUGUGCCCACAGGCUCAGCUGCUGCCAGCUCCCGGAUGCCAGAGCUGCCACCUGGGGCCCUGGCCACACUGGCCACAAUGUUGUGAUGUGUUUGGAUGAGGAGUGGUUUGGUGCCAGCGUUGCCAGGCUCCGAGGGUGACUAAUCCCAUCUGCAUUUUUGGUUUCAGCUGCCUGAGCUGUUCAGCUGAAGGACCUCAGAGAGGUCACCUCCUCCCAGGCAUGAAUGCCUGAGCUCAGGCCCAUCCCGAAGGCCCCUCGGCCACUCCGGACACACAAGUAUGUCCAGCAAGCCUCUGCUGGGCCCGGCUGUGUGCUGCCCGCCAUCCCGAGGACACGGGUUCUUGCUUUAACAGAAUAACAAAAACUUCGAUGGGAAGGAAAGACGGAAAAGAGCCCGGGACAGAGGGGUGUCCCGAUACCCCGGUGCUGUCAGACACCGGCCUCGGGCCACUGGGCCUCCAUGUUGGGUGUCCAUGGUUCCCUGUCCGUGGCCAACUAACUAUGGGGCAAAAAAAAUUUUUUAAAUCACAUCUGUACUAAACCUGCACAGACUGGCUUUUCUUGCCAUCAUUCCCUAAACGAUUCCGUGUGACAACUGUUUACACAGCUCGGCCUGCACUGGGCACGGGAGGGGAUGGGAGUGCACGGAGGACGUGCAGGUUCUAGGCAGAGACAGGCCUCUCACGGAAGGGGCUUGACACCCUGGGGACAACAGGGCACCACUGGACUUAGACAGGCUGCCCGCUGGGUGGCCGGGGUGGUGAGGAGGCAGCCUCUCUAGGAGGUGGCUGAGGAGAGCCCUGAAGAGGGAAGGACUCCCAGACCAGGUGCCCUCCUCUCGGCCACGGAGCAAGGACGCCAGCAAGACUGGGGCGGCAGCAGGCCGGUGUCCCAGGGCCUCUCUCGGGUGUCCCAGGGCCUCUCUGAUUUCCAGGGGCUGCGGGAAGCCACGGAGGCUCACAGGAGAACAGGAUCUGGCUUUCAUUUCCUAAGGGCCACUCUGGCUGCGGGUGGGGAAUGGACAGGUGUGGAGACCAGGAUGGCUGGGGCAGGACAGCCUUCAGUCCUACCUGGGCCUAAGCCCUGAACUUGUUUCCUGUCCACAGGAGGCCAACAGGUCCAGGGGAGGCCCCUCAUUCCAGGAGAGCCGGCGGCCAUCUCAACACCUCUAUUGCCCCCGAAAUCUUCAUUUAAAUCAGUUGCUAUUAUUUCGACUUAAAUAACUUACCUUUUAAAGGAAAUUAUAUCACAGCCAAAGGUCAUGGUUUGAUGAACAAAUUUUGCUUCUUUUUUCUAAUCCACAAUGUGAGUGACAACUGUUUACAAAGUUUUGAAAUUAACAUGUAAACAUAAUCUUAAGACUAAAAAUGAAUAGUGAAACUUUAAGUAUAAAAGUUUACCAGGAACAUGAGAGUAAUGCAUUAAUUAUUUUUUCCAAUUCCUAGUAAAUACUUGAUUUAAAAAAAAAAAAAAAAGCAUUU